ACACUCCUGCGGGAGGCAGCAGUGGGGAAUAUUGCACAAUGGGCGCAAGCCUGAUGCAGCCAUGCCGCGUGUAUGAAGAAGGCCUUCGGGUUGUAAAGUACUUUCAGCGGGGAGGAAGGCGAUAAGGUUAAUAACCUUGUCGAUUGACGUUACCCGCAGAAGAAGCACCGGCUAACUCCGUGCCAGCAGCCGCGGUAAUACGGAGGGUGCAAGCGUUAAUCGGAAUUACUGGGCGUAAAGCGCACGCAGGCGGUCUGUCAAGUCGGAUGUGAAAUCCCCAGGCUCAACCUGGGAACUGCAUUCGAAACUGGCAGGCUAGAGUCUUGUAGAGGGGGGUAGAAUUCCAGGUGUAGCGGUGAAAUGCGUAGAGAUCUGGAGGAAUACCGGUGGCGAAGGCGGCCCCCUGGACAAAGACUGACGCUCAGGUGCGAAAGCGUGGGGAGCAAACAGGAUUAGAAACCCCAGUAGUCCCAUGA
This 476-nucleotide ribosomal RNA is filed under the name uncultured organism. RNAcentral describes it as "partial 16S ribosomal RNA". It matches the Rfam family "Bacterial small subunit ribosomal RNA", at positions 333 to 800 of the family's 1533-position model. The record is from RNAcentral.